RNAcentral lists this ribosomal RNA (1506 nucleotides) under uncultured bacterium. RNAcentral's name for it is "16S ribosomal RNA". It matches the Rfam family "Bacterial small subunit ribosomal RNA". The record is from RNAcentral.
GGCSAGGGAGGARCGCCGGCGGCGYGCCUAAHACAGGCAAGWCGAGCGAGCUGAACCAGCAGAUUCACYYCGGAGAWGACGCYGGGAACGCGAGCGGCGGAAGGGUGAGUAACACGUGGGUAACCYGCCCYAAAGYCHGGGAUACCACUUGGAAACAGGUGCUAAUACCGGAUAACAACAAUAGCUGCAUGGCUAUUGCUUAAVAGGCGGCGAAASUGUCGCUAAAGGAUGGACCCGCGGUGCAUUAGCUAGGUGGUAAGGUAAUGGCUUACCAAGGCGACGAUGCAUAGCCGAGUUGAGAGACUGAUCGGCCACAUUGGGACUGAGACACGGCCCAAACUCCUACGGGAGGCAGCAGUAGGGAAUCUUCCACAAUGGGCGAVAGCCUGAUGGAGCAACGCCGCGUGAGUGAAGAAGGUUUUCGGAUCGUAAAGCUCUGUUGUUGGUGAAGAAGGAUAGAGGUAGUAACUGGCCCCUAUUUGACGGUAAUCAACCAGAAAGUCACGGCUAACUACGUGCCAGCAGCCGCGGUAAUACGUAGGUGGCAAGCSUUGUCCGGMUUUCCYSGGCGUAMMGCGAGCGCAGGCGNAAAGACAAGUCUGAUGUGAUAGCCCCCGGCUUAACCGAGGAAUUGCAUCGGAAACUGUGUUUCUUGAGUGCAGAAGAGGAGAGUGGAACUCCAUGUGUGGCGGUGGAAUGCGUAGAUAUAUGGGAGAACACCAGUGGCGAAGGCGGCUCUCUGGUCUGURACUGACGCUGAGGCUCGAAAGCAUGGGUAGCGAACAGGAUUAGAUACCCUGGUAGUCCAUGCCGUAAACGAUGAGUGCUAAGUGUUGGAGGUUUCCGCCUCUCAGUGCUGCGCUAACGCAUUAAGCACUCCGCCUGGGGAGUACGACCGCAAGGUUGAAACUCAAAGGAAUUGACGGGGGCCGCACAAGCGGUGGAGCAUGUGGBSUAAUUCGAAGCAACGCGAAGAACCUUACCAGGUCUUGACAUCUAGUGCCAUCCUAAGAGAUUAGGAGUUUCUUCGGGGACACUAAGACAGGUGGUGCAUGGCUGUCGUCAGCUCGUGUCGUGAGAUGUUGGGUUAAGUCCCGCAACGAGCGCAACCCKKGUUAUUAGUUGCCAGCAUUAAGUUGGGCACUCUAAUGAGACUGCCGGUGACAAACCGGAGGAAGGUGGGGAUGACGUCAAGUCAUCAUGUCCCUUAUGACCUGGGCUACACACGUGCUACAAUGGGCAGUACAACGAGAAGCGAGCCUGCGAAGGCAAGCGGAUCUCUYAAAGCUGUUCUCAGUUCGGACUGCAGUCUGCAACUCGACUGCACGAAGCUGGAAUCGCURGUAAUCGCGGAUCAGCACGCCGCGGUGAAUACGUUCCCGGGCCUUGUACACACCGCCCGUCACACCAUGGARGUCUGCAWUGCCCGARGCCGGUGGCCUUUCCGCUUAUGUGGARGGWGCCGUCUUWGGCWGGGCAGAUGWCUGGGGUGWUGUCGUAACAAGG